GACGAACGCUGGCGGCGUGCUUAACACAUGCAAGUCGAACGGAAAGGCCCUGCUUUUGUGGGGUGCUCGAGUGGCGAACGGGUGAGUAACACGUGAGUAACCUGCCCUUGACUUUGGGAUAACUUCAGGAAACUGGGGCUAAUACCGGAUAGGAGCUCCUGCUGCAUGGUGGGGGUUGGAAAGUUUCGGCGGUUGGGGAUGGACUCGCGGCUUAUCAGCUUGUUGGUGGGGUAGUGGCUUACCAAGGGUUUGACGGGUAGCCGGCCUGAGAGGGUGACCGGGCACAUUGGGACUGCGGGACGGCCCAGACUCCUACGGGCGGCAGCAGUGGGGAACAUUGCACAAUGGGCGGAAGCCUGAUGCAGCAACGCCGCGUGCGGGAUGACGGCCUUCGGGUUGUAAACAGCUUUCGCAUGUGACGAAGCGUGAGUGACGGUAAUGGGUAAAGAAGCACCGGCUAACUACGUG
RNAcentral lists this ribosomal RNA (468 nucleotides) under uncultured bacterium. Its description in RNAcentral is "partial 16S ribosomal RNA". It matches the Rfam family "Bacterial small subunit ribosomal RNA", at positions 28 to 507 of the family's 1533-position model. The record is from RNAcentral.